GCCAGACUCCUACGGGAGGCAGCAGUGGGGAAUAUUGCACAAUGGGGGAAACCCUGAUGCAGCGACGCCGCGUGAGCGAAGAAGUAUUUCGGUAUGUAAAGCUCUAUCAGCAGGGAAGAAAAAAAUGACGGUACCUGAGUAAGAAGCACCGGCUAAAUACGUGCCAGCAGCCGCGGUAAUACGUAUGGUGCAAGCGUUAUCCGGAUUUACUGGGUGUAAAGGGAGCGUAGGCGGCGCGUUAAGUCUGAUGUGAAAACCUGAGGCUCAACCACGGGAGUGCAUUGGAAACUGGCGGGCUGGAGUGCCGGAGAGGUAAGCGGAAUUCCUAGUGUAGCGGUGAAAUGCGUAGAUAUUAGGAGGAACACCAGUGGCGAAGGCGGCUUACUGGACUGUAACUGACGUUGAGGCUCGAAAGCGUGGGGAGCAAACAGGAUUAGAUACCCGAGUAA
Molecule: ribosomal RNA, 449 nt
Filed under: uncultured bacterium
Lineage: Bacteria
Description: partial 16S ribosomal RNA
Rfam family: Bacterial small subunit ribosomal RNA
Source: RNAcentral